Molecule: long non-coding RNA, 426 nt
Organism: Hibiscus syriacus
Lineage: Eukaryota; Viridiplantae; Streptophyta; Magnoliopsida; Malvales; Malvaceae
Exons: 3
Source: RefSeq, a predicted model, not a curated record
GAAUAGAUAUUUCGAUUCAAUUUCCAAACACAAAAGAAAAAAAUUGUACUAUUUUUUGCUUCUUAGGGAGACGGUGAAAUAGAGAAGCUCUGGAUUCCUUCUCUUCCCGUCCUUGGCGACGGUGCUUAUUCCAUUUAGUUUUCAGAUUGCACCGGACCUGGAUUUAAAAGGUUUAGUUUCCUUUUAAAGACAUGGAACAAGUGUGGUUCUGGUCAAAUUGCCACCUUUUCCGGAUUUGUCAUUCCAAGAAGUACUCGACUGGUGGUUUCUUUUCCAUGGAGAUUUUCUCUUGGUUUCCUUUGUCAAUUGCACAUAGUGCCGAUUCUCUUUUUAAUACCCAACACUGGAAGUGUAAUGCAUGUUAUUUCAGAGAUGGGUGUUAGAUCUUUAGCACACUUCUGUCUUCUGCGAUGCUUUGCUGAUACA